RNAcentral lists this long non-coding RNA (15632 nucleotides) under Homo sapiens (human). RNAcentral's name for it is "non-protein coding CASC15:45". The record is from RNAcentral. Lineage: Eukaryota; Metazoa; Chordata; Mammalia; Primates; Hominidae.
GUCUGCUCCGGGACUUGGAACAAAAGGGGGAACUCUGAUGAACUCUCUUUCCUCCCCUCUCCCCCGGACGCCGGGGUAUCUCCCUCUCGCAACUUUGCCGCCCCGACUUUCUCUGCUGUCAGGCCGGGAAAAAGUGUCCGAACGCCUCGUGGACUGCAGCGGGGGAAAUGUCCCUUAAAAGUGCGACGAAGUGGGGAAGAAGGUGUAAUUACUAUUAUCAGCAUCUAGAAAGCAUCAUGAAUUUGCUGGAGUACUUCCUAGCACUGACCUCCUUCAUUCUGCGUUGUUCUUACUGGAUCUUUCCAUCAGCCAACAAUAUGGAAGUACCAAUACAAGGUCAAAUCAUUCCUGGAUUCAUCUGGAGUUGCUUAAAAGUUAAAUCAUUGGAAUUUUUGAUGAUACCUUUUCUAUAUGGAUUACAAUUUGAUCGCUGGGAAUUCUCCACCUUAAAGAAGUACCCUCAGGUGACUACAGAUGUGUUAACACCCAGCAUGUUCCGGUAGGAGACUUUCUGGAUGGGGAAGAUUUCCAGGAAUUGGCAACAAGCUCAUUUCACUGGUGGGUUUGCUGAAGCAUUAUCACAAGACAGUCAGAAUGACUGAUGAGUGCUCUUCAGGUGUGAAUCAUGGCAAUACAGUGAAAGACAGUGAUUUACUGCUUUUGAGGGCGUGCAUGUAUAUGAUUAACGGAUGGAAGUGCAGGACUCCAAGAUUUACUUCCUUCCCUUUCCAGCAGAAUUACCUGAGACGAGUAAAAUCUACUGGUGGAGUCACUCCAUUAUUCUUAUCUGUGGAGAUCUAGAUCUUGAUUUGAAAGUUUCUGAGAAAAUCUUCAGCUCAGACUUGAGGGUCAACUUUACCAGCUGAAGGAUCUGCAUUUACUGCUCAACCACAUCUAAUUUGAUGUCCUCUGCAGAUUUAAAAUGUGUGCCUUCUUUUCCGUCACCAAGUCAUCCCUGGGUUACUACUGAACAUCCUUCUCAAUUCCCCCCGACCCAUGGAUGGCUGUUCUCCAUUGUCUGUUUCACCAGAUGUCCUCAAAACAAACAGACAGAAGAAGGAAGUGGCUAAUGGAGCUGUGGAGUCCAAGUGUGACUGCCAAGAGGAAUCCAGCAAAGCCAAAAAGCCCAAGCAUGUAGCCCUGCCCGAAGCACGCCACACGCAUGGAAAACCCAGAGGAAAUGAGUGAGGAUCAAUGGGAAGAAGAGAGCCAGCCAGGAAGUUGAAGAUUUGUCCAGGAGCAGAUAGCUGAAGAGAGAGAGAGAGAAGAGAGAACGGCUUACAGCUCAGGUCCUCUCUCCAUGCUUAGGAACCACUACAAAUGCUACUGCCUUGAGUCUCAUUUUGUUUCCCUCUGGAAACCACAUGUGUACCUUGUUUGCAACAGUAUGGGUAUGGAUGUUUUGGUAGUUCUUACACAUUUAUUUUAAAAUUUAAAGAAGUAGUGCCAUAAAGCUUUAUCAGGAUGUAUUUAAAAUGAAAAUAGUCUCUUGUUAUCUAGCAUGCAACUGAUUCUUUCAAUUUGGUUUGGUUAGUCAGAAUCUUACCAGAAGUCUGUCCAGGUGAUAGGUUAGUUGAGAGCAUCAAGACCAACCAAAAUAAAACAAAAACAAUAGCCUAUGGCAAACUCAUUCUGAUCAUUUCACAUCCUAGAGAAAAGUGCAGAGAAACAAAAAUGAGUCAAUAUUUUAUAAAUUCAGGGUCAAUAUUGUAUGCAAUGUCAAUAGUGUAUGAGUUCCAAAGGUUUUGUGUCACUAUUAAAUUAGAAAUGAUCCAUUUUUAUUCGACGUAUAGUAGAUCGGGCCAUAUAAUGGCCAAUAAAUAAAUAAAUAAAUAAAACCCCCACACCAGAAUACAAAGGAUAGUGAGGAAACGUAUUUUGUACGACAAUUGCAAACCACUUAUGGGCUUCAAUACAAAGUAAUAGAGACCAUCUCUUCUCUUUGGCUUUCCAUUCAUUUUUAGCAUUAGUGAAUUUAUGUCCUGUGCUCUUGACCUUGAGCCCUAAGAGGUGUAUGUCUUUGCCAUGCUUCUGUGGCUACAUUUUAGGAGAGUGAGUGUGCAUUACAUGUCCGUAACCCAGAUCUUAGAUAGUAGAAGGGUGCUGUUAUAAUUUGUGGACAGAGGCUGUAAUUUGGUGCUCAGGGAUUACCUCCUUUGUAUAUGUUUGCCUACUGCAUGCUACCAUUUAUUGUAAGCUUUUUAUUCAUGAUCUUCAUUCUAGUUGAAUCUGUGGAGCUAUUGGUCAUGAGUAGAGAAAUAGAUCUAUAGGGUUUUCUUGAAUGGCAUUUCUCAUUGCUAAUGUGUUCUGUGACCAGCCAGGUUUAUGGAUAAACCCAGUUUUUGUGUUUCUCUGAGAGGUAUGCAUCAAAGCAGUUUUUUCCUCUUCACUUAGGAAUUUUAAUUUUCCUUCAGGGUUCAGUGGGCCAUUUAGUACCUCCAUUAUCUCAUAAGUUAUUCUUACUAUUUAAAUGACUUUUUUUUUUAGGAUGUUAGCAUGUUGGCCCUUUUACUUUUAUUUUCAAAGUCAGACCAAACAAACCAUCAGAGUGCUGUAAAUUUACACCUUACAUUUGUUUGGAAUUCUUUUUAUAUUAAUAUUUUUAGAGUCUUCAUAUGCAAGCAGAAAUUUUCCAUCCCCUCUCCACUGAUCACCAUUGAGGACAGGGCAUGAGAUGGGCAAACCCAUGCUUUUGUGUGCCUGUAAUGGCUAGCCUCUUUGUUACACACUUUAUAUUGGUCGUUAUCUGAUAGAAUUCCAACAAAUGAAAACAUGCCCAAGUUAAAGAAAUUAAAUCUCCUUAUCCAUCACCUUAGAAAAAUGACAACACAGCAUGUAUGUAAUUUAAAAUGACUUGUUGGAAUAUUUAUUGCUAGAUUGGGAGAACAUUUCUACUGAUAAGAAGCUCCUUUGAUUUAUCAAAGUUUUCCAUAUUAUUUGUUAAUUAACUCCAUGUCCUUAAUAUCCACAGCUCAUUUUUCCUAUGAUAAUGACUCCAUUGUGAAACAUAUAAAUAUAAUGAAAAAUAUCCCUACCUGUAUUAAAAAUUGAGAAACCUCAAUUACUUCACACCCAUUGUAUUUUGUAGUCAGCUCAGGACUGUAGUUACAUAACUUCAGUUAUUAUUGCUGGAGCAACAAGAUAAGAGAGUCAUUGAAACAUUGCAAAAGAGAAUGCAGUGGACCAGGGUGGUAAUGUUGUCCUUGUAAUAAGCCUACUCCUGCCAUUGCUGUUAGAUGAAGGUUUUCUUUUUCCAAGUGUUAUAUAAUUAUAUGCAAUUAUUUUUGUCGUUUGGUUUUCCUAUUAUCUUUUUCCUCCUCUUUUUGACACGAAAAUGAUAGUAACUGGAAAAUAUAAACCAAUAAGAUUUGAGCUAUUUACUAUGUUAAAAGAGAAUUUGCCAGGUUUCAAAUUAUUUCCUCAUUUGGAUCUAGCGUGCAGCACUUACUGAUAAGAAUUCUCUAACACAUGUCUAUUUAAAAGUAUUAAAAGUAUUGUGUACACAUUUCAGCAAAUUUUGGCAAAAGGGUGUCCUCUGAUGGGGAAGUGACUGUUCCUUUCUUUUGCCAUUUCCCAGUCUUAAACCCUUGUUUUUACAUCAAGCUCCUUUGUUAAGGAUUCAACAUAAAAGUCUUUGAUAUUAUUGAGUCCAUCUCUGACUCAUUAUUAGCCAACACUUUGUGUCUGGCUGGCAGCUUUUCCGUAAGUGGUAAGGUCAGCCUCAUACAGUAUUGCACAGCCUUUCCCAUUCCUUUUGCGUCAGUGAGAAUCAAAUGAUUCAACAGUGAAAAGCAAACUCUUGGACUGGAAUAGCAAGAUGACCCAUCUCUAAACAAAGCAAACUGACUAGGAUUCUCUCAUGCUUAACAUGCAUCUUACUGGUUCUUUAUGAAGAGCUUUCUCUUGGCUCACAGGCAGAAGGAAUUUUCCUUGUCUUGGAUGAGACUUUUGACUUGGACUUUUGGGUUAAGUUCUGGAGACCAGAAGGCCAAAAUCAAAAGUAUGGGCAGGCUUGAUUUCUUUAGAAGACUCCAGCGGAGAACUGUGUCUCCUUGCUUCUGAUUCUACAUCUCCAUCCAUGGGCCACUGUUUCAGCAACCUCAGCCAGUGCAACACAACCUCAGCCAAGAAGAGUAUGCAGAGAAAGGAGUCCCCUACCUGCCACAAAACUGUUGUCUGAAAACUGUCUCAUAUUGUCUCAAGUUGUCAUUCAUUGUGAAUUAGACCUGUUUAACAUGUAAUCUGCAACAUGCUUCACUGUCUAAUUUUCCAGAGCCCCUCAUAUAAGGAACUGUAUUAUUGGUAUAAUCAUCAUGGUGAAGAAGUUGGUAUGUGGGGGAGAGAUGACAGAAACAGAGAGUAAGUCAGAGCUGGCUGCCUGACAGAUAAAAAGGAAAUGACCAAAAAAAAAAAAAAAGACACAGAAGAAUACUUUGUUGUCCACACAGAAAAGGGAAGUGUAGGUAAGACAGCAGUAGACUAAGAUUCUUAAGACUCAAGUUCUAGUCUUAUUUAUUAGCUAUGGGAGGCCUUGAGGGAGUUCUAGAAUUAAGUGAUCUCUCUUUAUAAAAUAGGAACAGUAAUAACUUCCUGGCUAACUCCCUGGCUGUCUCACAAUGCUGUAGUAGUAAGAAAUAAUUUUAUAAUUAAAGACUAUUUUAGGGCUGAUUACAUUUUUGGGCAGUGGCUCAUACAUGUAAUUUCAACAUUUUGGGAGGCCAAGGUGGGCGGAUUGCUUGAGCCCAGGAAUUCAAGACCAGGCUGGGCAACACAGACCUUGUCACUACAAAAGAAAAAAACAUUAGCUAGGCGUGGUGAUGUAUGCCUGUGGUCCCAGCUACUCAGGAAGCUGAGACAGGAGGAUCACCUGAGCCUGGGAGGUCGAGGCUACAGUGAGCCAUGAUCACACUACUGCACUCCAGCCUGGGAAACAGAGUGAGACUCUGUCUCAAAAAAAAAAAAAAAGGAAUAUUUUACACUUCAAGGUUCUAUACAAAUGUAAAAUAUCAUUCUAUUACUUAUUUAUAAUGCUGAUUAUUCUUUAAAUGACUUUAAAAUGUUAAUCUCUGCUUGAGCCUACGGAGAAGUAUGUAACAAAUUUGUGAAGGAUUGGCAUUAAACAUAGUCAAAAUAAAACAUAGAAAUUAUGGUAAAUAAUUUAACUGGUAAAAUAAUCUAAGUGGUAGUUCUCAGGUAAGUGGAAAUUCGAUUAGCUGAUUGUUUAGGAUUCUUGGUUAUAAGUGACAGAGACCUGACUAAAAGUACAUGAAGCACAUAACUGAGAAGGUUGUGGUAUGGCUCAGCAGAAAUGGGAAAAUCUUGGGACUGGUUCGUGUUUUAUUUACAUUAUCUUUGUUCCCAGGCAGUCUCUGCAUGUAAGUGGCAAAGAUGACUGUCUGAAAAUAUAUACCUACUUUUUUAAAGGGCUAUCUCAAGCCAUUCUGGAGAAGCACCAAAAGCCACUUUGCUUAUACUGGGAGAAUAGUUUGCUUUCCCUAAUUUGUGAUGAGUGAAACACUGAACAGAGACAUAGAAUAAUAUUCUGUAGUUCAGGGUUGGUGUAAUAUGGCCAGUGGGCGGAAUCUGGUCCUCAGACUGAUUUUGCAAAUAAUCUUAUAGAAACACAGCAACACCCAUUCAUUACAUGUUGUUUAUGGUUGCUUUGGGGUUACAAUGGCAGAGUUGAGUAGUUGUGACAGAGAUCACUAGGCUCACCACAUCUGAGAUAUGUACUGACUGACCCUGUACAGAAAGUUUGCUGCUCUUAGAGGAAUGUGUGUUUCUAGUGUCAGCAAUAAACUUCUUGGAUUUGUUUUGUUUUCUCAUCUUUACAUGAUAGUUGCAGACUAGUUGAUCCUUGUGACCUGUUUUUGAAUGCCACUGUGUAUUCUGUCAGGGCCCUCUGAUUCUGUUUCUUAUGGUGCUGAAUGCACAAUUUAAUGCCCUGGAAUUUCCUUCUGUCUUCUGCUAAACUCAUGCCUCUUCAGAUAGUUAAAAUCCUGUUCUACCUUAGAAGUCUCCAGAGUUAUUUUCCUAAAUUAAGAAGAACUGGCUUUGAAGUUACUCAUUAUGCCACACACAAUGGUUGAAAAGAGCAUCUCUUAUGUACUGUGUAUAUUUCAGCAUCCACUCAGCUUCUUAGGUAGAAAAGGAAGAGUCUUCCACAGUGUAUUUUAUCCAUAUUUGGGUCAGAAACUCUUCUUUACCACGGAGCGUGAUGGAAGAAAGAUAUGGGAUGGUAACAGUAGGCCAGGGAUGUAAUAAUCACAAAAUUUGAGAUAUUUUGUGACUGGUGACUCACGCCUGUGAUCCCAGCAUUUUGGGAGGCCAAAGCGGGCGGAUCACCUGAGGUCAGGAGUUCAAGACCAGCUUGGCCAAUGUAGUGAAACCUCAUCUCUACUAAAAAAAUAUAAAAAUUAGCUGGGUGUGGUGGUGCACACCUGUAAUCCUAGCUACUCAGGAGGCUGAGGCAGGAGAAUAGCUUGAACCAAGGAGGUGGAGGUUGCAGUGAGCUGAGAUUGUGCCACCACUGCAUUCCAGUCUGGGUGACAGAGCGAGACUCUGUCUCAAAAAAAAAAAAAAAAAAAAUCUAGAAAAAGAUCUCCAAGAUUCAAUCAUCUAAUUAUUUCUUUUAAAAAUGAGAAAAAUGACUCCUGGUCAGCUUUUACCUUCUUUUUCCAACUGUCUUGACAAUACUUUCAUAUUGGGCUUUUAAAGUCUCAAGUAAUAGGUUUUUAAAACCUCAGCUGAUAAAAGUAUAAAAAUAAAGUUAAAACAUAUUAAAGACAAAACCCAAGAAUCAGCUUCCUCUUCCUUCAUUACUCUUGCAUGGGUGUUGGCUCUAAUUUCUCCAUCUAGUUAGGCAGUCCUUUGCUUUUUAUUGCUUGUUUAUUGAUGACAUUUGCCAUUUGUAGCAAUAGUAAUAGAAUCAUCUAUAUAUUUGUGGCCUUGUUGAAUGUAGAAAAAGGAUAGUGGCAUUUUCUAAUUGUGUAACCCUAUAACACCUUGACGGGGGACUACAGUUCAUAUGCUGGACCUUUUGUGUUUGUUCAUGGCGGGUGGGUUGCUUUAAUAUACUUAGCACAUUGUCCUAAUUGCCAUCCUUUUGGGGAGGGCUAUAUAUCCAAGCUAAUAUGGUAGCAUUUUUGUUUUAACAUAGAGCUGACCCAAGGUAGACGUAAGUGUUGUUCAUUUUUGCCUAAUACUAAUAAAAUUACCUAAUUGUUGAAGCUUGGAGCUUGAAUCUAGGCAUUUUAUUUCAUUUCAAGUACACCCUAGUAUUUUAAAGCAUAAAUAUCCUACUAUCCUCAACAACUUUAGAACAAAAAUAAAUAUUUUAACAAGAAAAAAGCAUGCCAUGACAAGCUGUAACUUAGUAAAGAAAGACAAGGAAUGGUCUCUAUAGACCGAGAAAAAAUAGGUCCUCAGAUAUAUUUAUACCAAAGGAAUGUUAUGAAUGUAAAAAACAGUUUGACUCCCCCCCCCCCGCCAAAAAAAAACUCCACAACCCUAUAUUUUGUUAUCACAAGACUGUUUUAGUGAAUAAAACAGUAUGAAUUGGUUUUACCUGUUUCCAUUUAAUACUUAUUAACUUUAUAAUCGUAUAGCCUGAGGGUUUUAACUUCAAGUACAGCAUGAUGACUAUAAUAGUUUUACACAAGGCAAAUGUGAAAAACAGAAGUAAUUUCUUUUAAAAAGUGUGAAAUAUCUAAAAGGUAUGACUUCAAUACAUCAACUCAGGUGAGACAGACAUGUAACUUCUUUUUCCAUGUUUAAACCUAAUAUUGCUUUUGUGCCUCUGAAGGCUCGGAGUUUCCAUGCCUUCUUAGGACAUGCCACCCUCUCCACACCUGGAUGUGUUCACCAACCCAGAAGCUCUUGGAACCCCAUCAUUUGGGGUUUUUAUGGAGUCCCCAUUAAGUAGGUAUGACUGAUUAAAUCACUGGCCAUUGGUGGUUGACUCAAUCUCCAGCCUCUCUUCCCUCUCUGAAGGUGAAGGGGUGGGAAGGUGAGGCUAAGUUCCAACCCUCGGAUCACAGGGUUGGUUCCUCUGCAACCAGGCUUCAUCGUGAAACAAUACAGGGCCCACCGAGAGUCACCCCAUUAGCAAACUCAGAUGUGAUUGAAAGGGGCUUAUUAUGAAUAUCAAAAGACAUUUCUCUUUCUCCUAUUACUCAGACAGUUACAAGGGUUUCAGAAGCUCUUGCACCAGGAACUGGGAACAAAGACCAAAUAUAUAUGUCUUCUUCUAUUACAAUGUCACAGGUGUGACAGAGUAGGUAAAUGGAGUCUCAGAGAGUCCCCAGAGUAUUCCAUGGAGCCACAAAAUGAAGAAUAAAUGGAUGGUUCUCCCCAUGAUCAAAAGUGGCCUGAAAAUACUUGAGAAUGAGUCAUAACUUAAAAGGCUGUAUAGUAGAAAAGAAUGCACAGAGGACCGAAUGUAAAAGAAGGCACCCCAGUCUCAGCUAGUGUGGAUGCAUGCCAGUGUAGAAAGAUGCUAGUGUGGCUACAUUGGUGCACUGAAGACCAAACUCCUGCAUGGCCCCACAUCCUUGAUACCUUAGAUCUAUAUCAUCCCCUAAAACUUAGGUGUUAUGACAUUCAGGAUAUGCUACCCCAUCAUUUUUUAGGCUGAAGGAAUUUGAGAAAACAGAAGCAGGAAUGUAAUUGCCCAGUGGGUUCUUCCUGCCCUGUGCACAGACAAAACCAGUUCACUGAGACCAUGGUAUUGCAGUUAAGAAAGAGUUUAACAGGAGGCUGGCCACAUGGAAGAAUUACAGUUAUUACAAAUUAGUCUCCCUGAAGGCUCAGAGGUCAGGGUUUUUCAUGGAUAGUUCGGUGAGCAGUGGAUUAGGGGUAAGUGCUGCUGAUUGGUUGGGGAUACAAUCAUAGGGGUGUGGAAAAUGGUCCUUGUGUGCUGAGUCACCUCUGGGUGGGAGGCCAUGGGACCCAUUGAGUCAUGAGUCACGAGGCUGGGUUGGGUCAGUGUGAAAAACAUCUCAAAAGACCAAUCUUAGGUUCAAAAUAGGUGAUAUUACCUGUAGGAGCAAUUGGGAAAGUUAUAAAUUAUAUGACCUCUUGGCCCCAUGACUUCUGAGCAGUAAGAGAUGAUAGAAACUAAACCUACAUUUUAUCAGCACUCAGGCCUCUUCCAUAAUCCUAAUCUUGUGGCCUUUCGUUAGUCUUAUAAAGGUGGUUUGGUAACUGCCCUCAAGCAAGGAGGGGAUCAGUUUUAGGGAGGUGCUAUUAUCAUCCUUGCUUCAAAGUUAAGCUGUAAACUAAAUUCCUCCCAUAAUUAGCUUGGCCUACACCCAGAAAUGAGCAAAGACAGCCAGCCUGUGAUGUUAGAAGCAAGAUGGAGUUAGUCAUGUUAGAUUUCUCUCACUGUCAUAAUCUUUGCAAGGGAGGUUCCAGGAAGGUCAUCCUACCUUUCCCCUCACCCUUCUCAUGUGACACAGGUCAUAAAGCCUAGGAAGGAUUUUCCGACCUUUCCCUGAAGCAGGUCGUAAGACCCUCAUUGGGGAGGUGCCAUUUCUAGACCAAGAGAAAAGGCACAUCCUUAUGUCUGAAGACACAGGGACACAGAGAAGAAUCUGAACAAACAGGUCUUGCUAAGUUCCCCCCAGUUUGUUUUCAUUAGAUCAUGCCCCUUUAUUCAAUGCUGUUUCUCCACAACUAUCCAUUUCUUCAUCAAGCCUAGCAUAAAAAAUACAGGUUUCACGGUUUCUUUGGGUCUUCAUUUCCUUAUAAAGUCUCCUGUACCAUGUAAAACUUAAAUAAGUUUCUCUGCUUUUCUCUUGUUGAUUCUGUCCUUUGUUUUAUAACCCUCAGACAUGAACCUAGUGAUGAGUGAGGGGAAGAUAAUUUAUUUUCCUCUACAGAUGCAAAAGGGAAAAGGGAACAAUCCCUAAACGGAAGUUAUGAUCCAGGGAUCAGAGGCUCAAAAGCAAGAUUAGGUUUAAAUGUAGAAAAAUACAUUCCUCUUUCAUUUUAGAUAUCCCAAAUGCCCAAAUCAACCCAGCUAUUUCUCAGAAGUCUGUUUCCCCUCCACCCUCUGCUCCUCUGUGUAGUGAAACUGUCUCGUUUGGGAGUAAAAUGGCCUGGCUUUCCUUACUGAGUAUACUCUCAAGACUAUUGCCUAUUACUUUUUUCCAUUCCUUCUUGAGAACUACGCUUUUUAAAACAAGAAUUGACUCCAUUUAUCUUUUUCUUUUAGCCUUCUGCUGGGGUAUGCCUUCUCUAAAGCAAUGAAUAAAAAAUGCUUUAGCUGAAUAAAUGGGGCAAGGAUCAAGGAGUACAAGCUAAUAUUUCACAAUAUUAUCCUGCCAUAAAUAAAAGUAUGGUUUAAAUGACAAUGGUGGGGUUAGGAGUUACAGGUCACUGAAACACCACCUUAUUCAUGCUACCAGCCCCUUGGCUUUCCUGAUGGCAGCAGGGAAGCAACACAUAGGUAGAAUUAUGAGCCAACAUCGUGACUGGAGAGGGAUUGAAAAUCUUAUUUGUUGUCUUCCUAGACUAUUACAGUUAUCUGUUGAAAUUAGACUCAAUUCUUUGGCGAAAGUACUCAUUUUUAAGGUCCAUAAUAAAUUGUAACUAUGUAGCCUUUGUUGCAUGAGUUUAGUAUGAGCUGAUUGGUGGGCCACAGUGAAAGGCAGAGGGAAAUGGAUGUUAACUAAGAGGUAGAAGUCCCCUUGAAGUUCUGACCCUGUCACUAAUGAAGUCUUUAUUUCCGUAUUUAGUAAUUGCCUUUUUUUUUUUUUUUUGAGACAGAGUCUUGCUCUGUCGCCAGGAUGGGGUACAGUGGCACAGUAUCUGCUCACUGCAACCUCCGCCUCCCAGGUUCAAGCAGUUCCCCUGCCUCAGCUUCCUGAAUAGCUGGGACUACAGGUGUCUGCCGCCAUGCCUGGCUAAUUUUUGUAUUUUUAGUAGAGACGGGGUUUCACUAUGUUGGCCAGGAUGGUCUCGAUCUCCUGACCUCGUGAUCUGCCCACCUCAGCCUCCCAAAGCUAGGAUUACAGACGUGAGCCACCAUGCCCGGCCAACUGCCUUCUUUAUAUCUCAUUUUAAAAAUUUAUAACAAAGAAGUGGGUUGAUUUUCAAGACCUAGUUGUGUUAGUUUGAAUGAGAUGCAUACAUUUGGCAAGUCUGGGGUCUAAGAAAAGAUAAAGAUCUGAAUGCUGAAAAUCUAGAGAAUUCAGGUUACUGGGGGAUAACUUAAAGUCACUAGGGAAUUCGGGUUACUGGGGGGAUAACUUAAGGUCACUAGGGAAUUCGGGUUACUGGGGGGAUAACUUAAGGUCACUAGAACCCAAAUGCAGGGAAGAGUUGGGUGCUCUUUGGCAAAUAAACAUUCCUGACUUAGCAUUUUUCUUAAACCCGAACGUGCCAGCUGUUUUUUUGUUUUUUUGUUUUUUUGUUUUGUGACCUCAGCCAGGCUUGCGUGUUUAUUCAUCACAUAUUCUAAGCUCAUAUACAACUGUGACCUGAUCCAGCCUUCAAGGAACUCACUCUUGAUUUUAGGAAUCUUUCCACCACUUCGAUUUCAUCUUACUCCUGAAACAGUCAGCCAGAACUGUCUAAUUCAGUCUAUACUUCUGAUACAAAACUCUACCCAGCAACCACUAUGGUUUUGUUGCUUUAGGUACGUGUUAGAAAGCACCCACAUCAAUUUACAGAAAAUCCUUAACUGAAUCUCUAGUCCCAGAGGAGUCAUAUUUUAUUAUAUGGUGCUUUUUAUUUAAAGAGAUCGGUUUAAUAGAAAUUACUCAGGCAUUUGAAGUGAUAGCUUUAAAAUGUGGGACUGGGGAAAAUAAGAACACUUGACCUCUCUCCAUAAAAUUGAAUUGUUCUUUAGGUUUAAAGUUUUGACAGACAAAGAGAAAGUGAGAGCAAGUGAGGGUGAAAAUAUAUCCUUAUUUGGUAAUGAGUACCCAUUAAGAGGACAGUAUAUUACAUUUCAUCUUCUUACUUCACAUUCCUGUUUUAAGGAUUUGUGAGCAAAGUGCUGUGAGACCUCUAGAGUUAAGAGGCUGGAGAUAGGUAGUUUUGAUGGUAUUUUAAGGAGUGCUCCAUAAUGUGUAGUGUCUGAGUGCUGAAGCUUAAUCAGCUUCAAUUAAAUCCAAAACAUACUGAAUAGCUCCUAUGUGUCUGGCAUUGAGCUGUGUGCCAAAGUGGUGGAAAGAUGUAAGAGCCACUGAGGCUUAGAGAUGAAAAGGAUCUUGGAGCCACUGGUUUCCUGCCUGCUGGAGUUUCACCAUCAAGGACCCUUUCGUUAUUUUCCUUCUCCCAUGCAUUUUAUUAAAAUUUUUGGUUUAGUAAACCAAAUUCACUAAUGGGAUGUUAUUUUCAUAUCAAAGAGUAUAAUUCUGCCAAUCAAGGCUUCUGAUCAGCAUAAAAUAAUUAGGUUUCAUACUGAAUGCACAAAUUCUAGUCAAAAGCAAAGCCAUUUGAUGACAUGUCUGCUAUGUUGCCAUUUGCUUUAAGAGAGGUAAAGGUAGCCUGACUUCUGUUCACUCUGUAGUACAGAAUACAUUGUUAACAAGUCAUAGGUAUGUUCUUUUAGGUUUCUAAUUACUGUCAGCCUCUCAUUUCAGACAGGUGAUGUGAUAAGGUGAAAUGAUUACUAUAUUUAGACUCAAAAGUCCUGAGUUUGAGUCCUCGUUUAACGAUCUAGUCCAUGAGCUUCAGUUUUCUCACCUGUUAAAUGGAAAUGAUGAUUAUUUCCUGGAAAUUGCAUUUCCAGGUUGUUUUGAAUGAUAAAUGAUAUGGUGUAUAUAUCAGCUGUUUGCAAACCAGAAAAAGCUAUUCUAUGGUAAACACAUGCAGUGGGCUGAAUUGUGUCUCCCAAAAUUCAUAUGUUGAAGUCCUCACCCCCAGGGCCUCAGAAUGUGACUGUAUUUGGAUCUAGGGUCUUCAAGAGAUAACUAAGUUAGAAUGAGGUCAUUUGGGUUGAUCCUAAUCCAACUGACUGAUAUCCUUAUAAGACGACGAAAUUUGGAUACAGAAAUACACAGAAGACAGGGAGAAGAUGGCCAUCUACAAGCUAAGGAGAGAGGCCUCAGAAGAAACACACCUGCCACACCUUGAAUUUGGACUUCUAGCCAUCAGAACUGUGGGAAAAUAAAUUUCUGUUGUUUAAGCCAGGAGUCCUCAACCCCCGGGCUGUGGACCUGUACCAGUCGGUGGCAUGUUAAGGACUGGGCUCCACAGCAGGAGGUGAGUGGUGGGCGAGUGAGCAUUACUGCCUGAGCUCCACCUCCCGUCAGAUCAGCAGUGGCAUUAGAUUCUCAUAGGAGCACAAACCCUAUUGUAAACUGAGCACGCAAGGGAUCUAGGUUGUGCGCUCCUUACGAGAAUCUAAUGCCUGAUAAUCUGAGAUUGAACAGUUUUAUCCCCAAACCAUCCCCUCCACCACCCCCGUGGUCUGUGGAAAAAUUGUCUUCCACAAAACUGGUCCCUGGUGCCGAAAAGGUUAGGGACCAGCGGCUCAAGCCACCCAGCCUGUGGUACUUUGUUACGGUAGCCCUGGCAAAUGAAUACAACACGUUUUAGACUAUGAUGUUACACAUGCAGUGUGUUGAGAGCCAAAGAACCCAAAUGAUUCGUGGUAUCUGCCCUUGAAGAGUUUUUAAUCUUUUUGGGCAUGAUGAAACAUACACAUGGAAAAUAAAAUAGCAUAUAACCAAGUGCCCAAAUCAGUAAUAAAUACAGUUGACUCCAUAAACAUUUAGGAACCUUCUAUCCCAUGUUUCCACAUUCUAUCCCAGUGGCUUUUGCCACUAAAUUUCUUCACCCACUAUUAGACUGAUGUUUUCAUCUUUCAGUAUCAGACUCAAGCUUUAAUCUAGAAAGAGGGGGUGGGGGGAUAAAUGCUAUACUUUGGAACCAGUCCGGAUAUUUUAAGUAUGUUUUUAAAAAGUAUAAUCCUCACAACAUGAAAGUUAUUAGUUCUAUUUUUCAGGUGAGAAGAGUUAAGGUCAAACAGACGAAAGCUAGUUAGUGGAGGGACUGGUAUUCCAAGCCCAUUCUGGUUAAACUAAAUCUUGUGUUCUUUCCACUAGAAAACUGCUUUUUGUCUUAAUUAUAAUUUUGUGACAAGGAUGUAUAGUCCAUUAAGGAAUAUAUACAACAGAAGAAGCAUUUAAGUGGACUUGAGGUUUGUGAAUCUGAACUAGUUUCUAUCGACUUUCACAUCAGCAGCUCCUAUUCUGGGGAAAGAGAAUGGAGGCUGGGAGUGAUCCUGACAAACCUUGAUGUGCAGGCUUGUGGAGAAACUGGAUUCACACCCAGGCUCGUGGAGUGUGGGAGAGGCUGGCCUGUCACAAUAUCAGGACAGCCUCUCUUAAUAACACUGCAGAAGGAAUCGAGGGCCCUGUGGUUUGCGUUUGUUAGACUUUGGAUGGUGGAGACCUGUGCCUGCUACUUCUCUCAUCUCCUGAUACCUAAUGCAUAGUGUUCAGUAAGUAUUUAUUUGGUGAUAACAAUAUCAAAAACUAGAUAAUGCUUAGAAGAUCCAACACCUUCCAAAAUCUCUGUUAACCAGGUACUGAAAUAUGGUCAACCAGAUGAGCUGAAAUGUCAAGAACUUAUAGACACACAUGGUUUCAUGGUUGUGAAACUAGAAGAUGUGGCAUAUUUUACACAAUGGAGGGAAGAGCAAAGGUUAUGCAUGUGCGGAGGCAGAGCCCCUAGGCAGGUUUCCCUCUUUUCCUUCCUGUGCACUGAUUUUUAUUUUGGUGAACUGAAACAGGGGUCUAACAAACUGGUAUCUCAUUUGUCUUUAUAAACAGAACUGCCAGAUUGGCUUUGCAAUUCAGGGCCCUGUAGGGUGCCCACCUCCUCAGUUUGGGCAGCAGCAUUACAUCUGAGUCUUAGAAUAAAAAUGGAAAGCAAUGGCUCAACCCAUUGGUUUGUCACCAUCCACAUGAAGGAUCUCUAUUGGUAAAAAAACAGACUCCCGUGUUCAAGGCCCUGGGGCUGGAAUCAAAUCCAUCAUUCAUUUAUUUCGGUUUUUUAAGGCUAAAUACAUAGGGAAGAAAAUGAAAUGUGAGAAAGCUGUGCAUUUUCAAUGUCAUCUUGAAAGUGAGUAUCUUUAGACACAUAAAGUAGAUGAGUGGUUAACUUGGGCUGGGAGAGGGAGUGAGGAGUGGUUGUACAUGGCACAAGGUUUCUAUUUAGUGUGAUUGAAAUGUUCUAUAAUUUGAUUGAUGAUUGUACAGUUCUGUAAAUAAACUAAAAUGUAUUGAAUUGUAUAAUUAAAACAUGCAGAUUUUAUAUUUAAAAUAUACUUUGAUAAAAGUGUUUUAAAAAUGAAUAUCUCAUAGGGUAGAAUGAAAUGAAUAAGAGAAACAGUGAGGCAUCCAGGGGACUUUCUGCACAGUGGGUCUGUCAUUAGGCAGGUACGUUGCCACAGCCAGUUCUAAUGCCCACUCAUAGGCCAAUGCCUAGGACAAUUGCUCAGAUAUCGCCUCUGACAGGCAAGUGUUCCAUCAGUAACAGCAGGCAUCGGAAGAUGAUGCCAUUCCCUGCUGUUAGUAUGAUUAUAUUGACUUAGGUUUUUAAUUUUCUUUCUUGCUGUGUUUUUUUUUUUUCACCUUCUUAGCCUCUAAAGCAUGAACAUCUGUGUUUUUCAG